This is a long non-coding RNA of Paramormyrops kingsleyae, 1468 nucleotides long. RefSeq lists it as uncharacterized. Lineage: Eukaryota; Metazoa; Chordata; Actinopteri; Osteoglossiformes; Mormyridae. The record is from RefSeq and is a predicted model, not a curated record.
AGCAUCAGGCUCACAUUGAGUGUUUGUCUUCAUUACCAUUUCACUGAUCUCUUUUGCUCAAUCGAUAUUCAGCCAGUGUUUCUGUCACAGGUUCAGAUUUCACCACAUUUUCGUGUCUACUUUUCGCUCAAGCGUGGACUAGAACGAAGCUUCCCAUGCAAAGAGGAAGAGGAAUGCGGAGCGUGAAAUCCUUCAGCCGCCUGAUCCGGUCCUGAGACACCGAUCGACCCCAGAGGGAAUGUGAACACAGGAUAUGACCCCUUUGUGCCCCCGAAUCAGAUCUGGAGAAAGAUGUUGGCCUGUGAUGCUGUCCCCCCAGGAAGCUGAGAGGUCUUCAGAAAUCCUGCCUAAAACUCACUGGGUGGUAAUAAUGCCAGCCCAGCAUGGAAAGCCGUUACACAAUGGACAAGCGCUGCUUUGAAAAUGAUGAAGUCGUCAUAACCAUCAUUUAAAGUUACAGGGAAUGGCAGUAAAAAAUAACCUAUGUUUUCGUUUUGAUGUUUUUGACUUAAGAAUUCCAAUUUCAAAUUAGAUUUCAUUUUGGUUCCAGUUUAAGUGUAAUUUCUUAAUAUGGCAUGAACCGAGGCAUUGAAAGAAAGGAAACGGAACCCAUCAGCAGUAACCCGGGUAUCGAGAGGGUGGGUUUCCAUACCGCCAAACGCUGUGGGAGUUCACCCAUCAGCAGUAACCCGGGUAUCGAGAGGGUGGAGGUGCUUUCCAUACCGCCAAACGCUGUGGGAGUUCACCACUAGAUCGACUGGCAGAUCUGCUGGGGCCCAUCGAUUUGAUAUAAUUGUAAAGAUACGUGUUUAUCCUUACAGUGUCCCUAGAGGGAAACUCAAGGUCUCUUCCACAUCUGGGGAGCAACAGAACAGCAGCCGUAGUUGGUACCAGUCACAUACUCAAAGCCGAAUUAGUUAUACAUUGAUUUCCACAGUACACCGUUUCAUAUAUACAAGCAUAUAUGAAAAGGAGCCAGGUACCUAUGCAUGAUAUUUUAUCUUAUGGACAGCACACCUUGCCGGCACCAUUUUGUGGAACAUUUAUUUAUCAGAUGUUUUAUCUAAAGUGACAUGGAGAAAGCAGGGUGAGCCAGUUCCUUGAGCAAUGGGGGAUUAAAGGCCUUGUUCAGGGGCCCGACUAUGACAUCACCCUGCUCACCCUAGGAUUUGAACAGGCUGCCUUUGGUUAGGACAGCAGGAGGAUUUACCCACUAUACACACAAGCUCACUCUGAAAGACUCUGAAAGGUCUGCACAGCACGUACACUCAGAGAGCUCACUCUGACUCUAAAACAUCUACACAGCAUGUACACUGAGAGAGCUCACACUGACUCAGAAACGUCUGCACAGCAUGUACACUGAGAGAGCUCACAUUGACUCAGGAACGUCUGCACAGCACGUACACUGAGAGAGCUCACAUUGACUCAGGAACGUCUGCACAGCACGUACACUGAGAGAGCUCACAUU